Molecule: RNA transcript, 1469 nt
Organism: Triticum aestivum (bread wheat)
Lineage: Eukaryota; Viridiplantae; Streptophyta; Magnoliopsida; Poales; Poaceae
Exons: 6
Source: RefSeq, a predicted model, not a curated record
CUUCCUCAGUCCCCUCACAUUUCUUAUCUUCCCCAUUCUUCCCUUCCUACCUCCUCCUCUGUUGCCACACGCUAGAUCCCCCAUCCACAGCCGGCACUCUCUGGUGGGCGCCCCUCCCAUUCGUCACCAUUGUCGGCGGACACAUAGGCCCAUGCUCUUCCCUGCCCCGCCCCUUCUUCAUAUCCGAUCCCCGAAGUGCUCGAGGAGGCGCUCGAGCUCGGCAUGCUCGCCGGCGACACCGGGGCCCUCCCUCCUCCUGAUGCACUCUCCGUCGCCGCCAUGAGCGUCUCCACCUUCUCCCGCGCGCCGUGAAUCCUCCCUCCCCCCUGCUCGAGACGCCAUCAAGGUCCGGUUCCAACUCUUCUUCUCCCCUCGAUCCGGAUGCUCUGCUCUCCGACACCAUCUUUUUGCUUGUUCGAUUCAGUCUGGAGCAGGAGCAGCUGCUGCUCGCGACCUCUAGUUCCUUCUUUCCAUGGAUGUGCUGCUGCUCGGGGCCCUCCCUAUGCUUCUCCUCGCUCGUACGGGUCCAGGGUUAGCUGCUCAGGGGACAUGGUGUGUUCCGUGUGGCGCUGCCUUCGCGGCAGCCGCCGUUGUUGUGUCUCGUGUGUCGCGGCAGCCAAUGGGUCGGGAAGGUCUGAGACUGGAGGUCCCUGCUCGCCAACUCACAGACGCCCUGAAUGGUUCAGAUUUUUUGAAGGAGAAGGAGGUGCGAAAGGGGAUGGGAGCAACAAGUCUGAAUCGAAGAGAACUGAUAGCAUGUCCUGCCAUGAGGAAUUUGAAGCGGUCAGAAGACAUAAGAGCCGGGUCCUAAACUAUGUUAAGGCCAUGCUGAUGUGUAAGAGUUUGCGGGUGACAUCCUCCAUGGCAAUCAUAUUCCCUCCAACAUCCUUCAGGCCAUGGCGACCAGGUCAAAGAAGUCGAACCUGAAGAAGUGCAGGGAAGAAUUAUGGUUGCGUGUGGCUGGCUGGUUCAGGGGAAUUUCAGGGCGGGCGCGGCGGCACGGGUGCCGGAGCAGGCUCCUAGGCACUGGCGAUCUGUCGGACGGAUAUUAGAAACGAAGGUGAAGGAGGAGCGGCCGCCCACUCGACGGUGCGGUGUAGGGCGGCGAGGGAGGCCGGCAGGGAGGCCUCAAUGCGGUGCAGGACGGCGAGGGAACCGUCCAGCGAGGCGACGAUGCGAUGCAGGGGUCCAGGCCGCCGUGCAGGGAGGCGACAUGACUGCUGAGCUUCGUCUGGGGCGGUGGCGAGGAAAGGCAGGGAGUGGGGCCAGGGACACGAUUAGGUUCGAUUUCCUUUUUUUGCGAGUUGGUUAGAUGGUUAGAUUAGCGUGAUUUGAGGGGCUGCGGAUGCGGGACGGAGAGUUUCAUAUUUUCCUCUUGUGGAGUAUGGUCAGUCUAUUGAAACUGCUAAGCGCACACCAGAUCUUGAAUAAAUUAAUGAUGACUGUUGGAUUGGGUCGUGUGGGCUUCA